UAACGCGUGGGAAUCUGCCCUUAGGUACGGAAUAACUCAGGGAAACUUGAGCUAAUACCGUAUAAUGACUCCGGUCCAAAGAUUUAUCGCCUGAGGAUGAGCCCGCGUCGGAUUAGCUAGUUGGUGAGGUAAAGGCUCACCAAGGCGACGAUCCGUAGCUGGUCUGAGAGGAUGAUCAGCCACACUGGGACUGAGACACGGCCCAGACUCCUACGGGAGGCAGCAGUGGGGAAUAUUGGACAAUGGGCGAAAGCCUGAUCCAGCAAUGCCGCGUGAGUGAUGAAGGCCUUAGGGUUGU
Molecule: ribosomal RNA, 298 nt
Filed under: uncultured Sphingomonadaceae bacterium
Lineage: Bacteria; Pseudomonadati; Pseudomonadota; Alphaproteobacteria; Sphingomonadales; Sphingomonadaceae
Description: partial 16S ribosomal RNA
Rfam family: Bacterial small subunit ribosomal RNA
Source: RNAcentral